RNAcentral lists this ribosomal RNA (407 nucleotides) under uncultured bacterium. RNAcentral describes it as "partial 16S ribosomal RNA". It matches the Rfam family "Bacterial small subunit ribosomal RNA", at positions 28 to 526 of the family's 1533-position model. The record is from RNAcentral.
GAUGAACGCUAGCUAUAGGCUUAACACAUGCAAGUCGAGGGACCGGCGCACGGGUGAGUAACGCGUAUCCAACCUACCCAUAACUAAGGGAUAACCCAGCGAAAGUUGGAAUAAUACAUUAUGGUUAUGGCUGGGGAGGCGUCUGAUUAGCUUGUUGGCGGGGGAACGGCCCAGCAAGGCAACGUUCAGUAGGGGUUCUGAGGGGAAGGUCCCCCACAUUGGAACUGAGACACAGUCCAAACUCCUACGGGAGGCAGCAGUGAGGAGUAUAGGUCAAUGGACGCAAGUCUGAACCAGCCAAGUAGCGUGCAGGAUGACGGCCUAUGGGUUGUAAACUGCUUUUAUAUGGGGAUAGGUACCAGAUGAAGAAGGACCGGCUAAUUCCGUGCCAGCAGCCGCGGUAAUAC